Molecule: ribosomal RNA, 468 nt
Filed under: Triticum aestivum (bread wheat)
Lineage: Eukaryota; Viridiplantae; Streptophyta; Magnoliopsida; Poales; Poaceae
Description: partial small subunit ribosomal RNA
Source: RNAcentral
AUGAGCCCGGGGAGCGGCAAGCUGCGGUGGCUGUGGAGGGCGCCGGCGCGGGCGUUCGGGCGCGCGCGGGACUUCUACGUGCGGAGCAUCACGGGGUGCGCGCGCUACGUCCCCGCCGACGCGGCCUUCGGCGCCUACCCGGUGCUCGUGCCCGCGCCGCUGCCAAGGAGCCAGAGCUGCGGCUCUGGCGCCGACUAUGGCGGCGAGGAGGACCUCCGGGAGCUCAUCCGCGCGGCCUCGCAGAGGCGCGACGGCGAGCAGCAGCGGCAGGCCGACCGUCUCCAUGCCGUGCCCAGGAGCCAGAGCGUGGCGGGGGCGGCGUCCAUGGCGCCGAUCGACGAGGACGCGCCGUGCGAGUUCGCCGCCGGCGCGGGCGCCACGCUCUACUCCCGCAGCCAGAGCUACGCCGGCGGCGCCAUGGGGGCCAGGAAGUCUCACUGCCACAGCAAGGCGUCGGUCUUGGGCUGA